AGAGCGAACGCUGGCGGCAGGCUUAACACAUGCAAGUCGAGCGCCCCGCAAGGGGAGCGGCAGACGGGAGAGUAACACGUGGGAACGUACCUUUCGGUUCGGAACAACCCAGGGAAACUUGGGCUAAUACCGGAUACGCCCGCAAGGGGAAAGAUUUAUCGCCGGAAGAUCGGCCCGCGUCUGAUUAGCUAGUUGGUGAGGUAACGGCUCACCAAGGCGACGAUCAGUAGCUGGUCUGAGAGGAUGAUCAGCCUCACUGGGACUGAGACACGGCCCAGACUCCUACGGGAGGCAGCAGUGGGGAAUAUUGGACAAUGGGCGCAAGCCUGAUCCAGCCAUGCCGCGUGGGUGAUGAAGGCCCUAGGGUUGUAAAGCCCGUUUCGGCGGGAAGAGUAAUGACGGUACCGCAGAAGAAGCCCGGCUAACUUCGUGCCAGCAGCCGC
This 443-nucleotide ribosomal RNA is filed under the name uncultured bacterium. RNAcentral describes it as "SSU rRNA". It matches the Rfam family "Bacterial small subunit ribosomal RNA", at positions 26 to 518 of the family's 1533-position model. The record is from RNAcentral.